AUACAGAGGGUGCAAGCGUUAAUCGGAUUUACUGGGCGUAAAGCGCGCGUAGGCGGCUAAUUAAGUCAAAUGUGAAAUCCCCGAGCUUAACUUGGGAAUUGCAUUCGAUACUGGUUAGCUAGAGUGUGGGAGAGGAUGGUAGAAUUCCAGGUGUAGCGGUGAAAUGCGUAGAGAUCUGGAGGAAUACCGAUGGCGAAGGCAGCCAUCUGGCCUAACACUGACGCUGAGGUGCGAAAGCAUGGGGAGCAAACAGGAUUAGAUACCCCUGUAGUCC
Molecule: ribosomal RNA, 274 nt
Filed under: uncultured bacterium
Lineage: Bacteria
Description: partial 16S ribosomal RNA
Rfam family: Bacterial small subunit ribosomal RNA
Source: RNAcentral